This 113-nucleotide microRNA precursor is filed under the name Otolemur garnettii (small-eared galago). RNAcentral describes it as "miRNA (ENSOGAG00000021313.1)". The record is from RNAcentral. Lineage: Eukaryota; Metazoa; Chordata; Mammalia; Primates; Galagidae.
UGGCAACAAUGUGUUGACUGUAAUGGGUCCUAUUUUGAUUUACAAGGAUAUGUUUGAGCCUAGUUAUAAUGAUUAAAAUUCAUGGUCCAAAACUACAGUUACUUUUGCAUCAA